RNAcentral lists this ribosomal RNA (466 nucleotides) under uncultured bacterium. RNAcentral's name for it is "partial 16S ribosomal RNA". It matches the Rfam family "Bacterial small subunit ribosomal RNA", at positions 28 to 507 of the family's 1533-position model. The record is from RNAcentral.
GAUGAACGCUGGCGGCGUGCUUAACACAUGCAAGUCGAACGGAAAGGCCCAAGCUUGCUUGGGUGCUCGAGUGGCGAACGGGUGAGUAACACGUGGGUGAUCUGCCCUGCACUUUGGGAUAAGCCUGGGAAACUGGGUCUAAUACCGGAUAGGACCAUCGUUUAGUGUCGGUGGUGGAAAGUUUUUCGGUGUGGGAUGAGCUCGCGGCCUAUCAGCUUGUUGGUGGGGUAAUGGCCUACCAAGGCGUCGACGGGUAGCCGGCCUGAGAGGGUGUACGGCCACAUUGGGACAGAGAUACGGCCCAGACUCCUACGGGAGGCAGCAGUGGGGAAUAUUGCACAAUGGGCGCAAGCCUGAUGCAGCGACGCCGCGUGGGGGAUGACGGCCUUCGGGUUGUAAACUCCUUUCGCCAAGGACGAAGCGUUUUGUGACGGUACUUGGAGAAGAAGCACCGGCUAACUACGUG